GCUUUUUGUUUUAUAUUUGAAGUAGAACCUGCCCAAUGUAUAAUCAAUGGCUGCAGUAUUUUGACUGUACUAAGGUAGCAUAAUCAUUAGCUUUUUAAUUGGAAGCUGGAAUGAAUGGUAUAAUGGAAAAAUUGCUGUCUCGGGUUAAUUUUUAUUAAAAUUUUAUUUUUAAGUUAAAAAGCUUAGAUUUUUUUAAAAGACGAGAAGACCCUAUAGAAUUUUAUAUAUUAAUUAUUAUUAUUUUUUAGAAUUUAUAGUGUUAUUAAUUAUUAUAUUUGGUUGGGGUGACUAAAAAAUUUAAAUAACUUUUUUUUAUAUAUAAAUACUAAUUUGUAAAUUUAUGAGCCAUAUAUUAUGAUUGAAAGAAUAAAUUACCUUAGGGAUAACAGCGUAAUUUUACUGGAGAGUUCUUAUUGAUAGUAGAGUUUGCGACCUCGAUGUUGGAUUAAAA
This 451-nucleotide ribosomal RNA is filed under the name Phyllotreta striolata. RNAcentral describes it as "partial 16S ribosomal RNA". Lineage: Eukaryota; Metazoa; Arthropoda; Insecta; Coleoptera; Chrysomelidae. The record is from RNAcentral.